RNAcentral lists this transfer RNA (76 nucleotides) under Devosia psychrophila. RNAcentral describes it as "tRNA_Asn_GTT". It matches the Rfam family "tRNA". From Rfam's summary of the family: Transfer RNA (tRNA) molecules are approximately 80 nucleotides in length. Their secondary structure includes four short double-helical elements and three loops (D, anti-codon, and T loops). Further hydrogen bonds mediate the characteristic L-shaped molecular structure. tRNAs have two regions of fundamental functional importance: the anti-codon, which is responsible for specific mRNA codon recognition, and the 3' end, to which the tRNAs corresponding amino acid is attached (by aminoacyl-tRNA synthetases). tRNAs cope with the degeneracy of the genetic code in two manners: having more than one tRNA (with a specific anti-codon) for a particular amino acid; and 'wobble' base-pairing, i.e. permitting non-standard base-pairing at the 3rd anti-codon position. The record is from RNAcentral. Lineage: Bacteria; Pseudomonadati; Pseudomonadota; Alphaproteobacteria; Hyphomicrobiales; Devosiaceae. RNAcentral also lists the same sequence under 4 other names.
UCCGCGAUAGCUCAGUUGGUAGAGCAUUCGACUGUUAAUCGAAUGGUCGCUGGUUCGAGUCCAGCUCGCGGAGCCA